AGGGGUAGGGGAGCAUACUGUUGAGGCUGAAGCAUGAUCGAGAGGACAUGUGGACGAGACAGUAGAGAGAAUGCCGGAAUAAGUAGCGAGAGUAAAGUGAGAAUCUUUACCGUCGAAAACCUAAGGUUUCCUGGGGAAGGUUCGUCCACCCAGGGUAAGUCGGGACCUAAGCUGAGGCCGAGAGGCGUAGGCGAUGGACAACAGGUUGAAAUUCCUGUACUACCGCUGUUUGUUUGAGAGAAGUGGGGACGCAGAGGGAUAAGUUAAGCGAGCGACUGGAAGAGCUCGUCCAAGGGAGGUAGAAAGACUGGUAGGCAAAUCCGCUGGUUGAUUCGAAGUCCUGAUGGGGAGGGAAACUAAAGUACUGAAGUAACUGAUUCCGCACUGACGAGAAAAGCCACUAUUUAGAACAGAGGUACCCGUACCGCAAACCGACACAGGUAGGUGAGGAGAAAAUCCUAAGACGAUCGGGAGAAGCGUUGUUAAGGAACUCGGCAAAUUAACCCCGUAAGUUCGCGAGAAGGGGUGCCUGUAGAGAUACAGGCCGCAGUGAAUAGGCCCAAACAACUGUUUAUCAAAAACACAGGUCUCUGCUAAAUCGGAAGAUGAAGUAUAGGGGCUGACGCCUGCCCGGUGCUGGAAGGUUACGGGAAUCUGUUAGCGUAAGCGAAGCAGUGAACUUAAGCCCCAGUAAACGGCGGCCGUAACUAUAACGGUCCUAAGGUAGCGAAAUUCCUUGUCAGGUAAGUUCUGACCCGCACGAAAGGCGCAAUGAUUUGGGCACUGUCUCAACAACGCACCCGGCGAAAUUGUAGUACUUGUGAAGAUGCAAGUUACCCGCGACAAGACGGAAAGACCCCAUGGAGCUUUACUGUAGCCUGAUACUGGGUUUCGGUAUUUUUUGUACAGGAUAGGUGGGAGGCUU
This 925-nucleotide ribosomal RNA is filed under the name Herbivorax alkaliphila. RNAcentral's name for it is "partial 23S ribosomal RNA". It matches the Rfam family "Bacterial large subunit ribosomal RNA", at positions 1224 to 2157 of the family's 2925-position model. The record is from RNAcentral. Lineage: Bacteria; Bacillati; Bacillota; Clostridia; Acetivibrionales; Acetivibrionaceae.